RNAcentral lists this ribosomal RNA (986 nucleotides) under fungal sp. RNAcentral's name for it is "bacterial SSU rRNA". It matches the Rfam family "Eukaryotic small subunit ribosomal RNA", at positions 183 to 993 of the family's 1831-position model. The record is from RNAcentral. Lineage: Eukaryota; Fungi.
UCGACUUCGGAAGGGGUGUAUUUAUUAGAUAAAAAACCAAUGCCCUUCGGGGCUCCUUGGUGAUUCAUAAUAACUUAACGAAUCGCAUGGCCUUGCGCCGGCGAUGGUUCAUUCAAAUUUCUGCCCUAUCAACUUUCGAUGGUAGGAUAGUGGCCUACCAUGGUUUCAACGGGUAACGGGGUAUUAGGGUACUAUACCGGAGAGGGAGCCUGAGAAACGGCUACCACAUCCAAGGAAGGCAGCAGGCGCGCAAAUUACCCAAUCCCGACACGGGGAGGUAGUGACAAUAAAUACUGAUACAGGGCUCUUUUGGGUCUUGUAAUUGGAAUGAGUACAAUUUAAAUCCCUUAACGAGGAACAAUUGGAGGGCAAGUCUGGUGAACCUCAGCCCUGCUGACGCCAGUGAGAGUGCUAAGCUAGUCCUACGGGGCAACACACCCAAUGUGCGGGGACGCCAUCCCAGGCAAUCCGCAGCUCCUACCCGGAGUUCAGAGGCUCGAUAGGUGUGGGCCGAGAGGCUUAAGAUAGAGUCCACUCAGGGGUGCCACCCCCUGAAGUCAGUGGCCAGCAGCCGCGGUAAUUCCAGCUCCAAUAGCGUAUAUUAAAGUUGUUGCAGUUAAAAAGCUCGUAGUUGAACCUUGGGCCUGGCUGGCCGGUCCGCCUCACCGCGUGCACUGGUCCGGCCGGGCCUUUCCUUCUGGGGAGCCGCAUGCCCUUCACUGGGUGUGUCGGGGAACCAGGACUUUUACUUUGAAAAAAUUAGAGUGUUCAAAGCAGGCCUAUGCUCGAAUACAUUAGCAUGGAAUAAUAGAAUAGGACGUGUGGUUCUAUUUUGUUGGUUUCUAGGACCGCCGUAAUGAUUAAUAGGGACAGUCGGGGGUGUCAGUAUUGCGUUGUCAGAGGUGAAAUUCUUGGAUUUACGCAAGACUAACUACUGCGAAAGCAUUCACCAAGGAUGUUUUCAUUAAUCAGUGAACGAAAGUUAG